This 253-nucleotide ribosomal RNA is filed under the name uncultured bacterium. RNAcentral describes it as "partial 16S ribosomal RNA". It matches the Rfam family "Bacterial small subunit ribosomal RNA", at positions 524 to 776 of the family's 1533-position model. The record is from RNAcentral.
GACGUAGGGCGCGAGCGUUGUCCGGAUUUAUUGGGCGUAAAGAGCUCGUAGGCGGCUUGUCGCGUCGACUGUGAAAUCCCGCGGCUCAACUGCGGGUCUGCAGUCGAUACGGGGAGGCUAGAGUUCGGUAGGGGAGACUGGAAUUCCUGGUGUAGCGGUGGAAUGCGCAGAUAUCAGGAGGAACACCGAUGGCGAAGGCAGGUCUCUGGGCCGAUACUGACGCUGAGGAGCGAAAGCGUGGGGAGCGAACAGG